CAGUCGCCGCGGUAAUACGAAGGGGGCUAGCGUUGUUCGGAUUUACUGGGCGUAAAGCGCACGUAGGCGGAUCGAUCAGUCAGGGGUGAAAUCCCAGAGCUCAACUCUGGAACUGCCUUUGAUACUGUCGAUCUGGAGUAUGGAAGAGGUGAGUGGAAUUCCGAGUGUAGAGGUGAAAUUCGUAGAUAUUCGGAGGAACACCAGUGGCGAAGGCGGCUCACUGGUCCAUUACUGACGCUGAGGUGCGAAAGCGUGGGGAGCAAACAGGAUUAGAGACCCCAGUAGUCCCUGUCUCUUAUAA
Molecule: ribosomal RNA, 301 nt
Filed under: uncultured bacterium
Lineage: Bacteria
Description: partial 16S ribosomal RNA
Rfam family: Bacterial small subunit ribosomal RNA
Source: RNAcentral